Molecule: long non-coding RNA, 927 nt
Filed under: Olea europaea subsp. europaea
Lineage: Eukaryota; Viridiplantae; Streptophyta; Magnoliopsida; Lamiales; Oleaceae
Source: RNAcentral
GCCAAACUUCCACAUGAGCAAUCUCAGGCCACAUGUUUGGUACCUAAAUCAAUGAUGAAUAGGUAUGGCAUUCAAUACAAAUUCAAUCACUUAAAAUUGUUUCCCUUAUGGGAUUUGGUGAGAGGGAAGUCUUGGAAAUAUAAAUGACAAAUUUCUUUUUAUGUGCCCGCAAUGGUCAUUUAUUAAAAAAAGAGAGAGAAGUCUCGAAAUAUAAAUAUGCCAAAUUUGUCAAGGUCAAUUUCUCAAAGUUUCAAUUAUUUAUAGUCAUGCAUCAAAAAAGAAAAGAAAAAAAGUAAGUCUUGGAAAUAUAAAUAUUUAAAUAUUGACAUUUUUCAUUUAUUUUUAAUAAAUUGUUCGUUACUCAAAUAUUAAAAAAUUCAUCACCUUGGGAGCUGAAACUUUUGUACCAUGCAUAGAAAAGCACCUCAACUGAUUCAAGACAUAUAUGGAAACCUCUUUAAUACGAGUUAUCCAUAGCAUUGGAGUUCAAUGAACGUUAAACUUAUUCCCACUAGGAAGCAUUAAUUAAGCUUCUUCAGUGUUUGGUGCCUAAAUGAAAUAAGAUAGGAAUUACAUCCUUUGGAUGCAAGUGACAAAUUGUUAGAAUCCACAUGUGACAACAAUUAUUUUAUUUGAGUUGUAGGACAAAAGUUUCAAUGAAAAAAAAAAAGAAUAUUACGUUCAAAAUUGUUAAAUUAAAUAAUCGUAAAAUAUAUAUUCGAGAUUGAUUUGUUUAUUGUGUCUUUUCUGACCUCUUCUCCUACAAUUAAUUUUUUUAACCAAACUCUAGCUCUUUCUAGAUAGAGAUUAGUGUUUCAUGAAACAGAAGGAGUGGUUUCUCUUUAGGAAACUUUGAUUGGAAACACUUCUAAUGGGAAUGAACUAUUACGAUUGAAAUCUAACAUAUUUCCUACUUCUUGAUUGGAG